AUGUUUAUGGCUACCGUAAGAAUCAACCCAACCGCAAUAAUUAAGCAAAAUGAAAAGUAUAUUCAAUCAAGUUAUUAGUCAGAAUCGAUUUGCUAUGGAAACGUAAAAUGACAACAUUGAAACUGCGACAGAAACGAAGCUAGCUCCCUCUUCGUAUCGUAUAGAAAAUAAUAGCUACAGUAGCUAACGUUAGCUACGUUACGAAACCACAGCAAUGGUGAACCAUCAUUACCGGCUGAUGCUGCGAAUACCAGCUCAUAUGAACACAUUCACGAAGUCAACAUAUAAAGUAGGUCAUAGUGAUAUUCUACAGCAAAAGUUUGUUUCCAAAUACUUACCGCCUUGGCCGACAGCACCUUUUUGGCGAGGACACGGGAGGCAGUACACACCGCAGCCAUGAUGGGUCGUUUCGUCUGAUAAAAGCAACGUUACCAAACACCUCUGACACGCCUUGGGUCCCAGUGUAUGCCGGUGCCGGAGUAUACCAUCUCAAGAGAGGGUUUCGUUUCGUCAAGGGAAAAAUUAAAUAAUCCUCAUUGAUGAAAUACAGAAUUCAUUAUAUAGUCAAGUGGGAAAUUACGGAAUGUUUAUUUUCAUAAGAGAGACGAUUGAGGUUCGAUUGAAGAGACAUUCAUGAACAUAAAGGCCAGACGAACAACCUGACGCUAAGGAUAUACUGCUGCUCCCGGACGAGGCCCAAAUCCCUGUCAUUCGCAUGAAGAGGAGACUGAUUCAGAGGCUGCAGAUCCGGAUACCUUGUGAGAAUUUGUCGGUGACUGGGUUAUCCGCCUGUAACAUCUGUCCUAUAUGCCGACAUGCAAUCACUGGAGAAUAAACUGGAAGAGCUCCGUUCAAGACUAUCCUACUAACGGGACAUUAAAAUCUGUAAUAUCACAGAGUUGUGCCUGAACGACGACAUGGAUAAUAUACAGUUGGCUGGGUUUUCCGUGCAUCAGCCAGACACAACAGCUACCCCAGGUAAGACAAGGGGUGGUGGUCUGGGUCUAUUUGUCAGUAACAGCUGGUGUGCGAUCUCUAAUAUUAAGGAAGUCUCAGGCCGGAGUGGCGGCAAUGGGAACAAGUGGAAUUACGCCCUACUAAUGCCCAUGAUUGACCUACCUGCCUUCCGUAAGUACUGUAUUACAUAUACACAAGCUGCAUGCUCAAGGACCUCUGCAGGAGCACAGAGCAGCUUGUCUGUUGACUAGAUAUAAGUUAAUUACGUGUACCGUUGCUGACUCAACCUUACUUUGCUAUGAGACGGCCACUGUGCUCAGUUUACAGACAUCCAUUUUAGGCCAAUGAAUAUGUACUGUGCUGUUGAUGUCUUAUUAAAUGCAUUAACUAUCUCAAUGCACUUCCUGCUAUCCAAGAUUGGCAUGUCAGAUGACAAAUGUUCCUUACUCUCAUUUGGUAAAAUAAGGUCUGAACAAGUGGCAACAUUCCAUAACUUGUAAGGCAUAGGUAACAGACAACAAGCUAAAUGUGU
This is a long non-coding RNA of Oncorhynchus gorbuscha (pink salmon), 1489 nucleotides long. RefSeq lists it as uncharacterized. The record is from RefSeq and is a predicted model, not a curated record. NCBI's taxonomy places the organism in Eukaryota, Metazoa, Chordata, Actinopteri, Salmoniformes, Salmonidae. The transcript is spliced from 3 exons.